RNAcentral lists this ribosomal RNA (526 nucleotides) under uncultured bacterium. RNAcentral's name for it is "bacterial SSU rRNA". It matches the Rfam family "Bacterial small subunit ribosomal RNA", at positions 775 to 1289 of the family's 1533-position model. The record is from RNAcentral.
AGUAAAUAGAUACCCGGGUAGUCCACGCCGUAAACGAUGCACACUUGGUCGGAGAGGUUAGACGCCUUUCCGGCCGAAAGGAAAAAACUGAUGAGUGUGCCGCCUGGGGAGUACGGUCGCAAGGCUAAAACUCAAAGGAAUUGACGGGGGCUCACACAAGCGGUGGAGCAUGUGGCUUAAAUUCGAAGCAACGCGAAGAACCUUACCUAGGCUUGACAUGCACGGAUCAACAUCAGGAAACUGGUGCCACAGCCGCAAGGCCGGAACGUGCACAGGUGCUGCAUGGCUGUCGUCAGCUCGUGCUGUGAAGUGUCGGGUUAAGUCCCUCAACGAGCGCAACCCCUGUCGCUACUUGCUAACGAGUAAUGUCGAGGACUGUAGCGAGACUGCCGGUGUCAAACCGGAGGAAGGUGGGGAUGACGUCAAGUCCUCAUGGCCUUUAUGCUUAGGGCUGCACACGUGCUACAAUGGUAUGUACAGAACGAUGCAAGACCGCAAGGUGGAGCAAAUCGCCAAAACAUACCCC